GUACUCGCCUCGGCAAUACAUUCACUAAAAUUGAAACGAUACAGAGAAGAUUAACAUGGCCCCUGCACAAAGAUGACACGCAAAAUCGUGAAGCGUUUCAUUAACUC
RNAcentral lists this small nuclear RNA (107 nucleotides) under Procambarus clarkii (red swamp crayfish). The record is from RNAcentral. Lineage: Eukaryota; Metazoa; Arthropoda; Malacostraca; Decapoda; Cambaridae.